CAGAGGGUGCAAGCGUUAAUCGGAAUUACUGGGCGUAAAGCGCGUGUAGGUGGUUUUAUAAGUUUGAUGUGAAAGCCCUGGGCUUAACCUGGGAAUGGCGUUGAAAACUGUAAGACUGGAGUCGGACAGAGGGUGGUGGAAUUUCCGGUGUAGCAGUGAAAUGCGUAGAGAUCGGAAAGAACACCCGUGGCGAAGGCGGCCACCUGGGUCCAGACUGACACUGAGGCGCGAAAGCGUGGGGAGCAAACAGGAUUAGAUACCCUGGUAGUCCACGCUGUAAACGAUGAGAACUGGCUAAGCGGAUGGCUUAGGCUGUCUGCGUGGCGAAGCUAACGCGUUAAGUUCUCCGCCUGGGGAGUACGGUCGCAAGAUUA
RNAcentral lists this ribosomal RNA (374 nucleotides) under uncultured organism. Its description in RNAcentral is "bacterial SSU rRNA". It matches the Rfam family "Bacterial small subunit ribosomal RNA", at positions 526 to 896 of the family's 1533-position model. The record is from RNAcentral.